AAGCACAGUUCCUGCAGCGUUGCCUGGUUUGCACGGAGAGGCUGCUGGUGUCUGGACGUGGGUCCUUGGGGGACCUUCGAUUUCUCACCGGGUCCAGGGUGGCCCCGGCGGGAGGAGGACCCCGCCCACAUUCCUGGGAUUCCUUCUGUCCUUCCCACAUUGUUUGUUUGUUGACUUUAAAUUGGACUCUGCCAGGAAUUCCUUUUCCUCUUGGGUUUAGUGGGUUGAUGGAGGUCGAAGGAGCACAUGUCUGCUUGCAGGGCAGGCCGGGUCCUGAUGGACACCGAGGUCCGGACAUAGACGGUGGCUCAGCCUGAACCCUGGACAGCCUGGAGCACAGCCACGCAACUGCUUCUAAGACAAAACCGAGGAAAAAGCAGGAUUAAGCGGGGAUGAUGUCUGUUGGCCCUCAGCAGGAGCAUCUGCCAACGUCUCCUCGUCGUGGACCUGAGAAUGUUCUCCGGAAGCUGGAGUCCGAGCAUCGCCAGGCCCAGCCCUGGGUCCUCCACCCCGGCCACUGCCUCUCAGGUGGGCUCUCCCUGCCCCCGCCCUCCAGCGCCCCACACGGCGGCCAGUGCAGACCUGGAUGUGCAACGGCCCCAUCAGCAUUUGUUUCAUGAACAAAUAAAUGUCUGAAUUCAGGGCCCA
Long non-coding RNA from Pongo pygmaeus (Bornean orangutan), 648 nucleotides. RefSeq lists it as uncharacterized. The transcript has 3 exons. Lineage: Eukaryota; Metazoa; Chordata; Mammalia; Primates; Hominidae. The record is from RefSeq and is a predicted model, not a curated record.